GCCUCUGUAGCUCAGUUGGUUAGAGCGCUGCACCGGAAUCGCAGGGCCGCAGGUUCAAUUCCUGCCAGGGACC
Molecule: transfer RNA, 73 nt
Filed under: Paramuricea clavata
Lineage: Eukaryota; Metazoa; Cnidaria; Anthozoa; Malacalcyonacea; Plexauridae
Rfam family: tRNA
About the family: Transfer RNA (tRNA) molecules are approximately 80 nucleotides in length.
Source: Rfam by way of RNAcentral